GGCGGCGUGCCUAACACAUGCAAGUCGAGCGGUCUGGCAUUUAACAUUGAGUAUUCAGAUGAAUCUGAGUAUUGAAUGUUAAAUGUCGGAUAGCGGCGGACGGGUGAGUAACGCGUGGGUAACCUGCCUUAUACAGGGGGAUAACACAGGGAAACUUGUGCUAAUACCGCAUAAUAUCAUUGUAUGGCAUCAUGUGAUGAUCAAAGGAGCAAUCCGGUAUAAGAUGGACCCGCGUCCAAUUAGCUAGUUGGUGGUGUAACGGACCACCAAGGCGACGAUUGGUAGCCGAACUGAGAGGUUGAUCGGCCACAUUGGGACUGAGACACGGCCCAGACUCCUACGGGAGGCAGCAGUGGGGAAUAUUGCACAAUGGGGGAAACCCUGAUGCAGCAACGCCGCGUGAAGGAUGAAGGUUUUCGGAUCGUAAACUUCUUUGAUGAGGGACGAAUAAUGACGGUACCUCAAGAACAAGCCACGGCUAACUACGUG
Molecule: ribosomal RNA, 489 nt
Filed under: uncultured bacterium
Lineage: Bacteria
Description: bacterial SSU rRNA
Rfam family: Bacterial small subunit ribosomal RNA
Source: RNAcentral